AUUGAACGCUGGCGGCAUGCCUUACACAUGCAAGUCGAACGGCAGCAUGGAGAGCUUGCUCUCUGAUGGCGAGUGGCGAACGGGUGAGUAAUGCAUCGGAACGUACCGUGUAAUGGGGGAUAACGUAGCGAAGGUUACGCUAAUACCGCAUACGACCUGAGGGUGAAAGCAGGGGAUCGCAAGACCUUGCGUUAUACGAGCGGCCGAUGUCAGAUUAGCUAGUUGGUGAGGUAAAGGCUCACCAAGGCGACGAUCUGUAGCGGGUCUGAGAGGAUGAUCCGCCACACUGGGACUGAGACGCGGCCCAGACUCCUACGGGAGGCAGCAGUGGGGAAUUUUGGACAAUGGGGGCAACCCUGAUCCAGCCAUGCCGCGUGAGUGAGGAAGGCCUUCGGGUUGUAAAGCUCUUUCGGCCGGGAAGAAAUCGCACAGGCUAAUACUCUGUGUGGAUGACGGUACCGGCAUAAGAAGCACCGGCUAACUACGUGCCAGCAGCCGCCGUAA
This 504-nucleotide ribosomal RNA is filed under the name uncultured bacterium. Its description in RNAcentral is "partial 16S ribosomal RNA". It matches the Rfam family "Bacterial small subunit ribosomal RNA", at positions 30 to 523 of the family's 1533-position model. The record is from RNAcentral.